UACGGGAGGCAGCAGUGGGGAAUAUUGCACAAUGGGGGAAACCCUGAUGCAGCAACGCCGCGUGAGCGAAGAAGGCCUUCGGGUUGUAAAGCUCUGUCCUUAGGGACGAAGAAGUGACGGUACCUAAGGAGGAAGCCCCGGCUAACUACGUGCCAGCAGCCGCGGUAAU
RNAcentral lists this ribosomal RNA (169 nucleotides) under uncultured rumen bacterium. RNAcentral describes it as "partial 16S ribosomal RNA". It matches the Rfam family "Bacterial small subunit ribosomal RNA", at positions 340 to 524 of the family's 1533-position model. The record is from RNAcentral.